This is a long non-coding RNA of Micropterus dolomieu (smallmouth bass), 3826 nucleotides long. RefSeq lists it as uncharacterized. The record is from RefSeq and is a predicted model, not a curated record. The transcript has 3 exons. Lineage: Eukaryota; Metazoa; Chordata; Actinopteri; Centrarchiformes; Centrarchidae.
GUGCCGUCCUGUGGCUAGCCAGAAGCCGCGGAGGGGAAACUCAUGAUCCACCUUGGCUGAGUAGGAAACAGGAAGAAGCUUGGAAGGGGUUGUUAGCUGGAGGCUAGCCUACUGGAGAUCAUUAGACUGAGAAUCAGAGAUGAUCACUCACAGGCUGGGAAGAGGGCUGACAGCUAGCAGACAAGGUUCUGGCAGGCAGGGAAGCAGACUAGGACCACAAGAAGAAACUCCACCCAAAGGUCCUAACCAACCAGCAGAGAAUCACAGAUAUUCGUAUGGUUAUUCCACAGCAGUCUGAUGUUGGUUUCACAUGAUUUCAUCACUACUGUGGGUCAUGGUUUCAAAGCUGGUUGAGAACAUAUACAGCGGAACCGAAGCAGUGCUUAUCGGCUGGUCAAGACUGUGACGUCUGUGACGGCCCCAAGAGGUCUUGGUGUGCUGUCUGUGUUUCUUCCUGCAGGCAAUUAAGGAGAUUGGGAGCACCUUGCCAGUGAGCCCAACCUAUUUAGGCCUGCCUGCCCAGACGCCAGUGUCGGUGCUUGCGCCUGCCACACCGCUCUGCUACGCUAGUCUUUUGUUUUAAAUAAAUUUACAUUAAUCUUUGUAAACCUGAGUUGCAUCCUCCUUCUUUGUUGGAGCCUGAGAGCCGAGAUCGUAACAAAUUGGGGGCUCGUCCAUUUUUGAAUUUCUGGUAGGUUUAAUUUGGUUAACCUUAUUUAGUAACUUGUUGCGUUCUAGGAGUUUUUGUUUGGAGGAUGAGCUUGAGCAGGUUUUGGAUCACAUUUAAAAAACGUUUGCGAUUGUGGUUAAGGAGCUGGUGUUGUUUCUUUUGCUGUUGAGAGAUUAUGAUAGUAUGAUUUUUGUAUUACUCAGGGUAACCACUAGUAUUGUGUUUUCUUAUAUUAUAUUAUAUAUCGUAAAGUUUCUAGUUUCUAGAUUGAGAUUGAUAGAGUGUGCAAGGGAUGAGUUGGUUAAAAUAUCUGACUAUUACAAGGUUGAUGUUGGCGAUAGGAGGAUCAAGGAGACAGCAAGAGCAAAUUAAAAAAUUUAUUUGUUAAAGAAGAAAGUACUGGGCACCACAGAGGGUCAGUUUUCUGCAAGUACUGAAGGUUCGCCUAUUCAGUUAAUGUCUCCUGGAUCUGAUUUGAAUUUUGAGCAGCAAAAAGAGUUACUAGUGUUACGUAUUAAGUUAGAGACUGAGAAAGAAGUUGCAGUGGAGAAGAUGCGUCAGGGCAUUGAGUUGGAGAAAGUGCUGUCUCUUGAAAAAAUUAGAUAUGAAACUGAACAGGCAAAGCUUGACUUACAAAAGCAGAAAUUGACGUUGAUUAGAGAGGGGAAGGUUAUAGCGGAUGUUCUGCUGAUAAUCCAUCUGUGGCAGAAAGCAGCAGGCAGUCUGAUUUGAGGUUUGUUCCCAGAUUUAAUGAAAAAGAUCCUGAAACUUUUUUCUCAAUUUCUGAGCGUUUAGCUGAGGCACAGGGGUUAAUGUUGCAAUGCGUGUUAACUGGCAGGGCCCAGGAGGCUUAUGCUUCUUUGAGUAACAGUGAUUGGUUGAAAUAUCCUGUGGUAAAAUCUGCUGUCCUUAAGGCGUAUGAACUGGUGCCUGAAGCGUAUCGCCAACGGUUCAGAGGUUGGAAAAGAGGUGAUCGGUCGCAUUUGGAGUUUGCUCGUGAUUUGCCCUCUCAAUUUGAUCGUUGGUGUGGUGCAGCUGAGGUAAAUACUCACGAGGCUCUGCGGGAUCUGAUGAUCUUGAAGCAGUUUAAAAACUCCGUACCGGAGCGCAUCGCCAUCUAUAUUAGUGAAUGGAAGGUGAAGACUGCAGCUGAAGCUGCUGCUUUAGCUGAUGAUUAUGUUUUGACUCAUGGUGGAGGCAGUGGAUGUCCUACUUGAAGGUUUGAACACAGCGAAAAUCCCUCUGCUGGAGGUGUGUGGUCUGUUUCAGGAAGAAAUUUUGGGUGAGAGCAGAACGAACGCAGUGCGUAUGUACCAGACAAAAUUUGUAAUGUCAUAAACAAGGCCAUUGGAGGAGAGACUGUUAUUCUUUCAGGUCCAGAACCAAGCAGGCUGGAGCUAAUGGUAACCCGAAGCCAGUGAUGUUUGUUGCACCGGUUACUGAGCAGGUGACUGAGACUUUGGGUGGUGAGUUAAAACCACACAUAUCUAACCUGGAGCUGCAGUCAUACUUGCCAUUUAUUUCAGAUGGUGUUUUUUCUUUAGUAGGGAGUGAUGAGAAAGUGCACAUAAAAAUAAUGCGUGACACUGGUGCUUUUGAUUCAUUAGUUUUAGCGUCAGCCUUACCAUUUUCAAAGGAGACCAGCAUGGGUUUGUAAAUACAGUACCUGGGCUUGGAAUGGGCAUGAAUAUUCUGCGUGUACCUCUGCAUAAAAUGAUGUUGUCCUGUGAUCUGUUUCAGGGGGAGGUGGCAAUUGCCAUGCGUCCAGCUCUGCCAGCGGUUGGUGUUACCAUGAUUUUGGGUAAUGAUAUAGCAGGUAGUCGGGUGUGGGCCGAUGUUGCAACCCCGGCUAUCGUUGCUCCAGUUCCCCUGGUGAGCAGUGGGCCUGAUGACAAGGACACUGAGUUUCCAGAGGUGUUCAGGGCUUGUGCUGUGACACGUGCAAUGAAACAGGCAGAGUCAGAUAAGGCAAGUUCCACCGAAAAUGAAAUAACAUGUCCUGAUGUUCCCUGGUGUGAGCAGCGGGCUGACUGUUCUCUUAAGGGUCUGCUGGUCUGCUGGAGACUCCAGAAUGAGGUAUUGAUGAGAAAGUGGGUGAUUCAAGGAGAGCAUUUUGUUGGUGAACCUGUUUACCAAGUGUUGGAGAUUUCCCACGAUGAGUCUGGCCAUUUAGGCGUCAGAAAGAUGUAUGACCGCAUCCUGAGGUAUUUCUUUUGGCCCAGACUAAAGAGGUAGAUUUCUGCUUAUAUAAAGUCUUACCAUACAUGCCAGUUAACCAGCAAACCCAAUCAGAGUUUAAAACCCGUCCCGCUGUGUCCAAUACCAGCUAUAGGUCAGCCUUUUGAACAUCUAAUUACUGAUUUUGUGGGCCUAUUACCGCCAUCUAAAGGGGGUGCGAGUUAUCUUCUAACAGUGAUAAUAAUAAUAAUAAUAAUAAUGUGAUGUGCCAGAGCACAAGGUACCCACCCGCGUUUCCGUCACGCACAAUUACACAGGUCUGUGGUAUGUGCGAUACCAUGGAAAAUGGAACCAGCUGAAUUAUUCAGUUAUUGAAAAGGAAACAUUAGCUCUGGUCUUGGAUUUGCAGCAUUUUCAUGUGUAUGUCAGUUCUGUGCCUGUGGUGGUCUUCACAGAUCAUAACCCUUUGACCUUUCUUAGUUCUUUGCAGUGUCCUAACCAGAGGCUGGUUCGCUGGGCCCUUUUCAUGCAGUCCUACAGCCUGGACAUUCGCCAUAUUAAGGGGCGGGACAAUGUAGUGGCAGAUGCAUUGUCUCAGGCCAUUGAUUAAUGUUUGAAUCUGGGUUGUAUUCAGUUGCUCUCUGCUUGUCCCCAUCCUCCUAGGUCUUCUUCUUGUCCUCUUAAAUUCAGCUUCCAGGAUCCAGUUGCUGGGGAUGGAGGGGAGGAAUUAGAGGAUUUGUUGGGGCCAUAUGCGGUGAGGUAUUUUGUUUUGUUUGCAUUUACUUGGUGGUUGUUAGCCAGGGUUACCUUUGGGACCCUGACUACUUGGGCAACACCAAGACCGCCUCUGUACUGUGUGCUGUCUGUGUUUCUUCCUUUUUUAAUUAAGGAGAUUGGGAGCACCUUGCCAGUGAGCCCAACCUAUUUAGGCCUGCCUGCCCAGACGCCAGUGUUGGUGCUUGCGCCUGCCACACUAGU